Molecule: ribosomal RNA, 253 nt
Filed under: uncultured bacterium
Lineage: Bacteria
Description: partial 16S ribosomal RNA
Rfam family: Bacterial small subunit ribosomal RNA
Source: RNAcentral
UACGAAGGGUGCAAACGUUGCUCGGAAUUACUGGGCGUAAAGCGUGCGUAGGCGGUUCGUUAAGUUCGUUGUGAAAGCCCCGGGCUCAACCUGGGAACUGCAAUGGAAACUGGCGGGCUUGAGUGUGGCAGAGGGGGGUGGAAUUCCGCGUGUAGCAGUGAAAUGCGUAGAGAUGCGGAGGAACACCGAUGGCGAAGGCAGCCCCCUGGGCCAACACUGACGCUCAGGCACGAAAGCGUGGGGAGCAAACAGG